CAAAGUAAAAGUCCAUGGAGUCCUCAGCCUUUGCUCUGGGAGCUGAUGAAGACCAAAGCUAAACCGCAUCAUGGAAACAGGAGAAGCGGUGGGAAUUGGUCUUGGAGUGUUCAGUUUUGGCGUACUUGUUGCUGGUUUACUUUGUUGCCUGUAUAAAUGGAAAAAAGGUA
Fundulus heteroclitus (mummichog) is the source of this 170-nucleotide long non-coding RNA. RefSeq lists it as uncharacterized. The record is from RefSeq and is a predicted model, not a curated record. Lineage: Eukaryota; Metazoa; Chordata; Actinopteri; Cyprinodontiformes; Fundulidae. The transcript is spliced from 3 exons.